RNAcentral lists this ribosomal RNA (285 nucleotides) under uncultured prokaryote. Its description in RNAcentral is "partial 16S ribosomal RNA". It matches the Rfam family "Archaeal small subunit ribosomal RNA", at positions 474 to 756 of the family's 1478-position model. The record is from RNAcentral.
CACCGGCAGCUCUAGUGGUAGCUGUUUUUAUUGGGCCUAAAGCGUUCGUAGCCGGUUUGAUAAGUCACUGGUGAAAUCCUGUAGCUUAACUGUGGGAAUUGCUGGUGAUACUGUUGAACUUGAGGUCGGGAGAGGUUAGCGGUACUCCCAGGGUAGAGGUGAAAUUCUGUAAUCCUGGGAGGACCACCUGUGGCGAAGGCGGCUAACUGGAACGAACCUGACGGUGAGGGACGAAAGCUAGGGGCGCGAACCGGAUUAGAUACCCCUGUAGUCCCUGAGCGGGCU